CAACCUCAACUCAUAUGGGACUACCCCCUGAAUUUAAGCAUAUUAAUUAGGGGAGGAAAAGAAACUAACAAGGAUUUUCUUAGUAGCGGCGAGCGAAAAGAAAACAGUUCAGCACUAAGUCACUUUGUCUAUAUGGCAAAUGUGAGAUGCAGUGUAUGGAGCGUCAAUAUUCUAGUAUGAGAAAUUAAUGAUUUAAGUCCUUCUUAAAUGAGGCCAUUUACCCAUAGAGGGUGCCAGGCCCGUAUAACGUUAAUGAUUACUAGAUGAUGUUUCCAAAGAGUCGUGUUGCUUGAUAGUGCAGCACUAAGUGGGUGGUAAACUCCAUCUAAAACUAAAUAUAACCAUGAGACCGAUAGUAAACAAGUACCGUGAGGGAAAGUUGAAAAGAACUCUGAAUAAAGAGUUAAACAGUACGUGAAACUGCUUAAAGGUUAACCCCGAUGAAACUGAAAAUCCGUUUAUGGAAAAUCCAUCAUAAAAAUUGGAAUAUUCAAAAUAAUAUUACUAAAAAAAAAGGUGC
RNAcentral lists this non-coding RNA (520 nucleotides) under Drosophila simulans. Its description in RNAcentral is "Eukaryotic large subunit ribosomal RNA". It matches the Rfam family "Eukaryotic large subunit ribosomal RNA", at positions 1 to 501 of the family's 3401-position model. Lineage: Eukaryota; Metazoa; Arthropoda; Insecta; Diptera; Drosophilidae. The record is from Rfam by way of RNAcentral.